This 253-nucleotide ribosomal RNA is filed under the name uncultured bacterium. Its description in RNAcentral is "partial 16S ribosomal RNA". It matches the Rfam family "Bacterial small subunit ribosomal RNA", at positions 524 to 776 of the family's 1533-position model. The record is from RNAcentral.
UACGUAGGGGGCAAGCGUUGUCCGGAUUUAUUGGGCGUAAAGAGCGUGUAGGCGGUUUGGUAGGUCCGCUGUGAAAACUCGAGGCUCAACCUCGAGACGCCGGUGGAAACCAUCAGGCUAGAGUCCGGAAGAGGAGACUGGAAUUCCUGGUGUAGCGGUGAAAUGCGCAGAUAUCAGGAGGAACACCGGUGGCGAAGGCGGGUCUCUGGGCCGAUACUGACGCUGAGGAGCGAAAGCGUGGGGAGCGAACAGG